Molecule: ribosomal RNA, 447 nt
Filed under: uncultured bacterium
Lineage: Bacteria
Description: bacterial SSU rRNA
Rfam family: Bacterial small subunit ribosomal RNA
Source: RNAcentral
CGUCCAGACUCCUACGGGAGGCAGCAGUGGGGGAUAUUGGACAAUGGGGGGAACCCUGAUCCAGCGAUGCCGCGUGAGGGAAGAAGGUUUUCGGAUUGUAAACCUCUGUGGACAGGGACGAUAAUGACGGUACCUGUCAAGAAAGCCACGGCUAACUACGUGCCAGCAGCCGCGGUAAUACGUAGGUGGCGAGCGUUGUCCGGAAUUACUGGGUGUAAAGGGAGUGUAGGCGGGAAGGCAAGUCAGAAGUGAAAAUUAUGGGCUCAACCCAUAACCUGCUUUUGAAACUGUUUUUCUUGAGUGAAGCAGAGGCAAGCGGAAUUCCUAGUGUAGCGGUGAAAUGCGUAGAUAUCACGCAGAACUCCGAUUGCGAAGGCAGCGCACCGGCGCCCUACUGACGCUCAGGCACGAAAGCGUGGGUAUCGAACAGGAUUAGAUACCCUCGUA